Molecule: ribosomal RNA, 1372 nt
Filed under: uncultured bacterium
Lineage: Bacteria
Description: bacterial SSU rRNA
Rfam family: Bacterial small subunit ribosomal RNA
Source: RNAcentral
GAUAAACGCUGGCGGCGUGCCUAAUACAUGCAAGUCGAGCGAACGGACGAGAAGCUUGCUUCUCUGAUGUUAGCGGCGGACGGGUGAGUAACACGUGGAUAACCUACCUAUAAGACUGGGAUAACUUCGGGAAACCGGAGCUAAUACCGGAUAAUAUUUUGAACCGCAUGGUUCAAAAGUGAAAGACGGUCUUGCUGUCACUUAUAGAUGGAUCCGCGCUGCAUUAGCUAGUUGGUAAGGUAACGGCUUACCAAGGCAACGAUGCAUAGCCGACCUGAGAGGGUGAUCGGCCACACUGGAACUGAGACACGGUCCAGACUCCUACGGGAGGCAGCAGUAGGGAAUCUUCCGCAAUGGGCGAAAGCCUGACGGAGCAACGCCGCGUGAGUGAUGAAGGUCUUCGGAUCGUAAAACUCUGUUAUUAGGGAAGAACAUAUGUGUAAGUAACUGUGCACAUCUUGACGGUACCUAAUCAGAAAGCCACGGCUAACUACGUGCCAGCAGCCGCGGUAAUACGUAGGUGGCAAGCGUUAUCCGGAAUUAUUGGGCGUAAAGCGCGCGUAGGCGGUUUUUUAAGUCUGAUGUGAAAGCCCACGGCUCAACCGUGGAGGGUCAUUGGAAACUGGAAAACUUGAGUGCAGAAGAGGAAAGUGGAAUUCCAUGUGUAGCGGUGAAAUGCGCAGAGAUAUGGAGGAACACCAGUGGCGAAGGCGACUUUCUGGUCUGUAACUGACGCUGAUGUGCGAAAGCGUGGGGAUCAAACAGGAUUAGAUACCCUGGUAGUCCACGCCGUAAACGAUGAGUGCUAAGUGUUAGGGGGUUUCCGCCCCUUAGUGCUGCAGCUAACGCAUUAAGCACUCCGCCUGGGGAGUACGACCGCAAGGUUGAAACUCAAAGGAAUUGACGGGGACCCGCACAAGCGGUGGAGCAUGUGGUUUAAUUCGAAGCAACGCGAAGAACCUUACCAAAUCUUGACAUCCUUUGACAACUCUAGAGAUAGAGCCUUCCCCUUCGGGGGACAAAGUGACAGGUGGUGCAUGGUUGUCGUCAGCUCGUGUCGUGAGAUGUUGGGUUAAGUCCCGCAACGAGCGCAACCCUUAAGCUUAGUUGCCAUCAUUAAGUUGGGCACUCUAAGUUGACUGCCGGUGACAAACCGGAGGAAGGUGGGGAUGACGUCAAAUCAUCAUGCCCCUUAUGAUUUGGGCUACACACGUGCUACAAUGGACAAUACAAAGGGCAGCGAAACCGCGAGGUCAAGCAAAUCCCAUAAAGUUGUUCUCAGUUCGGAUUGUAGUCUGCAACUCGACUACAUGAAGCUGGAAUCGCUAGUAAUCGUAGAUCAGCAUGCUACGGUGAAUACGUUCUCGGGUCU